GAUCAUGGCUCAGGACGAACGCUGGCGGNGUGCUUAACACAUGCAAGUCGAACGAGAAUCUACUGAAGGAGUUUUCGGACAACGGAUGUAGAGGAAAGUGGCGGACGGGUGAGUAACGCGUGAGGAACCUGCCUUGAAGAGGGGGGACAACAGUUGGAAACGACUGCUAAUACCGCAUGACGCAUAGGGGUCGGCAUGAUCUUUAUGCCAAAGAUUUAUCGCUUCAAGAUGGCCUCGCGU
Molecule: ribosomal RNA, 240 nt
Filed under: uncultured bacterium
Lineage: Bacteria
Description: partial 16S ribosomal RNA
Rfam family: Bacterial small subunit ribosomal RNA
Source: RNAcentral